GUUCGGACUGUAGUCUGNAACCCGACUACACGAAGCUGGAAUCGCUAGUAAUCGCGAAUCAGAAUGUCGCGGUGAAUACGUUCCCGGGUCUUGUACACACCGCCCGUCACACCAUGGGAGUCGGGAAUGCCCGAAGUCAGUGACCCAACCUAUAGGAGGGAGCUGCCGAAGGCAGGUCUGAUAACUGGGGUGAAGUCGUAACAAGGUACC
This 210-nucleotide ribosomal RNA is filed under the name uncultured bacterium. Its description in RNAcentral is "partial 16S ribosomal RNA". It matches the Rfam family "Bacterial small subunit ribosomal RNA", at positions 1291 to 1500 of the family's 1533-position model. The record is from RNAcentral.